UAAUUGCUACUUUCACUAUUGCAACUCGGCCUUUAUAUCAUUAUUGGCAUCUAUGCCACAACACCACCAUCAUCGUCGUCACUGUCAUCGUAUCAUCAACAUUCACCGUUGUUAUUAUUGCCAUCACUGUUGUCGCUAUCACCUCCACUCAAUUGCUACAAUUUUCAUCAUCUCCACCAAAUUAUCGGUGCUCGUGCUACCACUACCGAGAUGAUUUAUUUGCCAUUGUUAAUUUAAUAAUUUGUAAAGUUUUGAUUCUAUUUUUAAAAUAAAAUUACAAAGUUCAAGAUAAAAAAUAUGUUUGGUGCUAUUAUUUAUUUUU
This 322-nucleotide long non-coding RNA is filed under the name Phoenix dactylifera (date palm). RNAcentral describes it as "long non-coding RNA (PDAC_LNC000286)". The record is from RNAcentral. Lineage: Eukaryota; Viridiplantae; Streptophyta; Magnoliopsida; Arecales; Arecaceae.